UACGAAGGGGGCUAGCGUUGCUCGGAAUCACUGGGCGUAAAGGGUGCGUAGGCGGGUCUUUAAGUCAGGGGUGAAAUCCUGGAGCUCAACUCCAGAACUGCCUUCGAUACUGAGGAGCUUGAGUCCGGGAGAGGUGAGUGGAACUGCGAGUGUAGAGGUGAAAUUCGUAGAUAUUCGCAAGAACACCAGUGGCGAAGGCGGCUCACUGGCCCGGUACUGACGCUGAGGUGCGAAAGCGUGGGGAGCAAACAGG
RNAcentral lists this ribosomal RNA (253 nucleotides) under uncultured bacterium. Its description in RNAcentral is "partial 16S ribosomal RNA". It matches the Rfam family "Bacterial small subunit ribosomal RNA", at positions 524 to 776 of the family's 1533-position model. The record is from RNAcentral.